GAUGAAGAACGUAGCGAAAUGCGAUAAGUAGUGUGAAUUGCAGAAUUCAGUGAAUCAUCGAAUCUUUGAACGCACAUUGCGCCCCUUGGUAUUCCAUGGGGCAUGCCUGUUCGAGCGUCAUUUGCACCUUCAAGCUUUGCUUGGUGUUGGGUGUUUGUCUCGCCUUUGCGUGUAGACUCGCCUUAAAAUAAUUGGCAGCCGGCGUAUUGAUUUCGGAGCGCAGUACAUCUCGCGCUUUGCACUCAUAACGACAGCGUCCAAAAGUACAUUUUACACUCUUGACCUCGGAUCAGGUAGGGAUACCCGCUGAACUUAAGCAUAUCAAUAAGCGGAGGA
Molecule: unclassified non-coding RNA, 336 nt
Filed under: soil metagenome
Description: partial contains 5.8S ribosomal RNA, internal transcribed spacer 2, and large subunit ribosomal RNA
Rfam family: 5.8S ribosomal RNA (bases 1-120)
Source: RNAcentral